GACGAACGCUGGCGGCGUGCUUGACACAUGCAAGUCGAACGGAAAGGCCCUGCUUUUGUGGGGUGCUCGAGUGGCGAACGGGUGAGUAACACGUGAGUAACCUGCCCUUGACUUUGGGAUAACUUCAGGAAACUGGGGCUAAUACCGGAUAGGAGCUCCUGCUGCAUGGUGGGGGUUGGAAAGUUUCGGCGGUUGGGGAUGGACUCGCGGCUUAUCAGCUUGUUGGUGGGGUAGUGGCUUACCAAGGCUUUGACGGGUAGCCGGCCUGAGAGGGUGACCGGCCACAUUGGGACUGAGAUACGGCCCAGACUCCUACGGGAGGCAGCAGUGGGGAAUAUUGCACAAUGGGCGGAAGCCUGAUGCAGCAACGCCGCGUGCGGGAUGACGGCCUUCGGGUUGUAAACCGCUUUCGCCUGUGACGAAGCGUGAGUGGCGGUAAUGGGUAAAGAAGCACCGGCUAACUACGUG
RNAcentral lists this ribosomal RNA (468 nucleotides) under uncultured bacterium. RNAcentral describes it as "partial 16S ribosomal RNA". It matches the Rfam family "Bacterial small subunit ribosomal RNA", at positions 28 to 507 of the family's 1533-position model. The record is from RNAcentral.